Molecule: non-coding RNA, 397 nt
Organism: Delphinapterus leucas (beluga whale)
Lineage: Eukaryota; Metazoa; Chordata; Mammalia; Artiodactyla; Monodontidae
Source: RefSeq, a predicted model, not a curated record
GACUUCCUCACAUAGAAAGCUCUCUCUGUUGAAGUUCACUACCAGGACAGCACCUGCCCCUGGCUCAGCGCCCGGUGCCAACAGAACACCUUUCAGGAUCCACAGCAACGCAGACAACGAGUCCAGGAUCCCGGCCUCUGCUUGGAACGGAACAGUGUCAUGGCGGAGACGACGGCCUUUGUCUUGCUGGGUGUGAAAGCAUUCGCUGUGCUGGCUCCAGUGCGGCAGAAUCAAGUUUAAAGGAAAAAAGGUACAGACGCCAGCCGCUUGGCACACUCUGCUUUUCGCACUGGUGCAGGGGGGCCGGGAAAGCCCGCAGCAAAACUAGCAACUGCUGAGGAACGUUGCCUGCUUAUUGGAGUAGAGCCGAUAGAAGUCGACGUGGUGCUGCCUCAUC